UAAAAGAGGGAUGCAACACGAG
This 22-nucleotide non-coding RNA is filed under the name Arabidopsis thaliana (thale cress). The record is from RNAcentral. Lineage: Eukaryota; Viridiplantae; Streptophyta; Magnoliopsida; Brassicales; Brassicaceae.